UCCGCUGUGGUCUAAUUGGCAGGACGUCUGGCUCUGGACCAGAAGGUUGGGGUUCGAAUCCUUACAGCGGAAC
Molecule: transfer RNA, 73 nt
Filed under: Mycobacterium intracellulare
Lineage: Bacteria; Bacillati; Actinomycetota; Actinomycetes; Mycobacteriales; Mycobacteriaceae
Description: tRNA-Gln
Rfam family: tRNA
About the family: Transfer RNA (tRNA) molecules are approximately 80 nucleotides in length.
Source: RNAcentral